RNAcentral lists this transfer RNA (84 nucleotides) under Cutaneotrichosporon oleaginosum. RNAcentral's name for it is "tRNA-His". The record is from RNAcentral. Lineage: Eukaryota; Fungi; Basidiomycota; Tremellomycetes; Trichosporonales; Trichosporonaceae.
GCUCGUAUAGUGUAGGUGGUUAUCACAGUUCGUUGUGGAGUUUCCUCAUCUGAGCUAACCGCUGUUCGACUCAGCGUGCGAGCA